AUAUCCUUAUCAAACUGCAUUUUUUCUUCUACUCCUGAUUCACAACGAUUUGAAUGAAGAAAUAAUCAGAAGUGCAAUUUUAAUCUUAAUUUCCUUUAAAAUGGCUAAAACCAGAAACCCCCUUUUUGUCGGAGUGGGUCUUUAAAAUCUGGGUCUGACUUGAAGUGCAUCCCUGCUAAUCGCCCAAAUGUUUCUUGACGUGUUGCUGAAACAUGAGCAUUUUAACAUGUGAAAUGGAGAACACAUAGUAGUAAAAGUGCUAUUGUACAGUGGAGUCCAAAGGAUGGACGUGACAGUAUUUGUUUCUUUGUGGAGCCAGGGGCGCAUAAAAACACCGUUCUGCUGGUGUCCUCUUUGCUUUCAGGCCUCAAAAAUGUCAGUAAAAUAUUUGUGGUUUUUUCUUUUAAGGGCUUAAACCAAUCCGUACAAGUAACGCUUCACUUUGCACUUGAAAGUAACUUGACUUCAGUUCCUGAAAUGGUAUGAUAGAGCAGCGAAACAAUGGAUGGAUGGAAAGAUGGUGGCUUUGGAUGAAAGCUUUAUUGACAAACACUCUUCUAACAGCAGUGAAUCUCCAAACGAUUGUUUCCCAUUGACGGCAUAUGAGAACUGGAUCGAAGUAAAGUGGUUACUAUGGGCGACGCCACUCUCACUGGGUCCACGUCUCAUUUACAAUCAACGGGUGGAGCCUGAAAACUCCUGAAUCCGGGACUUCAUGCAGAACCAAUCCUCCACAAUGUCGUUUGAACUCGAAGUACGCAUCGUGCACUUUGGCCGAUUUCUCUGAAUUAGGAACCUUAAAGGAUCAGUGUGCAGUGAUCUACGAGGUUAGUUUGUUUUUAGCAUAGUUUGCUUCAAAAAGCCUGUUUUUUUGCUGCAAAAUAAUCCAUCUGAACACUAAAUUACAAUUUCUUUUUUUCAUGUUUUUUUUUCAUCAUGAUGUGCCUUUUACCAAACCUGCUACACGGGAUGAGAACAUGCAGCAAAAAAGCUACAUUUGCUGCUAAUUUGAUUCAAUGAACAAACGUGUUCAAACGACACCCAAAAAAAUGCAAUUUAACACUACGUUUUCAAACCAAUGUCUUCUUCUUCCGAACGCUGUUACUUUAACUGAUCUUUGUGCAGAGCCGAGCCGCUGAGGUUUUAUUUUUGGUGAAAAUACAACGGUACGUUUAUGUCUUACCAGGUGUUCUCAAUGGCAGUGGCUUUUCCACAGCCCUUAAAUAAUAAUAAACUCGUCAUGGUAACUGUUUUGAAAGAAUUCGUGGAUGUGCAAAGAAAAACAGGUUUAACUUAUUUCAACCUGAGAUCAUUUUAGCUAAAACGAAUAUUUAUUAACAAAGUCAUUUUUUGGCCCUUUUUCUUUUUGGUGCAGUGAUUUCUUGAUUCGUUAUUGACAGAAUGCAGAAUAUGCACAGGUUUUAAGGGUUUGUUACAUAUUUUACUUGACAUUUCUAAAAAAAAAAAGUUUUUUUAUGUGAUUUUUCUUUGAUUACUAAUGUUAUUUUUUUUAAGUAAAAGAAGCCCUUUGAUUGUUUUAUACCCUGUUUUUUGUAAAAAUCUACUAACGUUUGGAAAUUACAAAUGAAGGCAUCCGUUUCAAAGCAAAUUAAUAAUCAAAGUAAUAAAGUAAAAUUCUUUUAGAAUGAAACCUUGAAUGAUUUCCAGCAUGUUUUUAACUCUACACCUUAAAAAAGCUGGUUCAGUUGCGUUCAGGACUAUUAAAACUGUCUGGAAAUUCCUGUUACAUUUGGUUCAACAGCAUUACUGAGAAAAUGCAUUUAUUUAAUAUUUUGCCAUUUUAGUUUAUUUUGUUUCCCUGUUUUUGAUAAGUAAAAUGUAUUAACCAG
Molecule: non-coding RNA, 1850 nt
Organism: Oryzias latipes (Japanese medaka)
Lineage: Eukaryota; Metazoa; Chordata; Actinopteri; Beloniformes; Adrianichthyidae
Source: RefSeq, a predicted model, not a curated record